RNAcentral lists this ribosomal RNA (503 nucleotides) under uncultured bacterium. RNAcentral's name for it is "partial 16S ribosomal RNA". It matches the Rfam family "Bacterial small subunit ribosomal RNA", at positions 30 to 523 of the family's 1533-position model. The record is from RNAcentral.
AUUGAACGCUGGCGGCAGGCUUAACACAUGCAAGUCGAGCGGGGUGAUGGUGCUUGCACUAUCACUUAGCGGCGGACGGGUGAGUAAUGCUUAGGCAUCUGCCUCUUAGUGUGAGACAACAUCUCGAAAGGGAUGGUAAUACCGCAUACGUCCUACGGGAGAAAGCAGGGGAUCACUUGUGACCUUGCGCUAAUAGAUGAGCCUAAGUCGGAUUAGCUAGUUGGUGGGGUAAAGGGCUACCAAGGCGACGAUCUGUAGCGGGUCUGAGAGGAUGAUCCGCCACACUGGGACUGAGACACGGCCCAGACGCCUACGGGAGGCAGCAGUUGGGAUUAUUGGACAAUGGGGGGAACCCUGAUCCAGACAUGCCGCGUGUGUGAAGAAGGCCUUAUGGUUGUAAAGCACUUUAAGCGAGGAGGAGGCUCUUUUGGUUAAUACCCAAGAUGAGUGGACGUUACUCGCAGAAUAAGCACCGGCUAACUCUGUGCCAGCCGCCGCCGUAA